Molecule: non-coding RNA, 1706 nt
Organism: Misgurnus anguillicaudatus (oriental weatherfish)
Lineage: Eukaryota; Metazoa; Chordata; Actinopteri; Cypriniformes; Cobitidae
Source: RefSeq, a predicted model, not a curated record
AACAGGAACCCAAUUCAGAUCGCUGGUAAAACACGCUAGCAGAUAAGAUAUUCCCUGUUUGUGUAAAUGAGGACAGCAUCAGUAAGGUUUCACCUGAUCAACGGCUGGUGCAGCGCCACCAGGGCGGCGUGAAUGGAGACGGAGAUCACAGACAGGUGGAAGUAAUCGAACAUGACGGGCAGAUGAUGGUGAAGGCCGUGGUGUGGAUGAAAGUGAAGACCCAACGUCCUGCUGCUAAUCAGAGGCACAGAGGAGAUAUCUGCCAACCUAAAGCACACAACAUUUACAUAAGAAACUGCAGAUCUAAUUUGAGCUGGACGUCCACCUCGCUCAUGGCCUCCUCUACCUGAGAUAGACGAUACGACACCUGUCAAUCACAGCUGGCGGCGAUCUUUAAAAACUGCUAACUAAGAGCUCUUAGUGGAGUAAUGGAUAAGAUUAAGAGUCAUCAGUUCGCUUAACGCAGAUGAACUCUAAAGUUCAUGCGGUCUUCCAGGGUCACCUCUUCAUUCCUGUAGAGGAUUUGAAAUAUCCGACUAAAGACCGCUCCAUCGUGAACCCCGGCGGUGAUGAAACUGCUCUCGCCUGCCGACAGACACAAAGCACAAAUGAACUUCUCCAUUACUCACAUCAAAGCUUAACAGACAGUAAGAUAUGAUGUGUGUGUAUUUGUGUGUACAGCUUUUGUUUUGCCUCCUGAGACUUUUCGGCAGAACUAUGAUUUUGUGUGUUUGUAACUAUGAAGGCUUUCAGAAACUGUUCAGAUAUUUCAGGCUCCCAAUACGCCGAUAUAGCACAAAAUGUUUACGUAUACAGCUUAACGUGUCUCUGUGUGGAUGCCCCCUUAAUUCACAGAUUUUUAUCUUUUUAAGGAACUUAGAGGAAAAGUUUCCCCUGAGAAAUAUUUGACCAGCAUCAAAAUUCUCAUGUAUGGCUUUGAAAUCCAGUGUUAUUUUAUCUGUCUGGCAACGUGUCACUAACCCGACCUUAAAACAGCAACGUCAACCCACAUCCAUUCGGUGUGGGACAGAGAUGCUCGCUGUGAUGUGAAUAUCUCAGUGGGGUUUCUCCUCAGCUGAGAAGAUGAUAGUGAAUGUCAAAGUGGUGAACAGCGAGGGUCUCGAUUAAAGACGGACCCCCAUUGACGCUGUCUCUCACUGUGUGUCUGUCUCGCUCGCCCUCUGAAUGUCUCUCUGUGUGUCGCCAAAACUGUUUCACAGUCGGCCGAUAACCAGAGAGAGUUUUACUGUCGCGUCUGAUCCUACUAGAGGAAUCGUGUGAACUGUGUGUUUGACAAACUACAAAGAGAGAGAACAGAAUUAGGCGUUUACAUUUUUUAUGUAAAAUGUAAAAACAGAAAUUAUUUUCUUAAGCCAUAUUCUGACUGUAAUUGUAAGGUGUUUUCCACCUUUUUCUUUUGAUAUAAAUGUUCUGCGAUGUAACUAUUGCAGAUGCACACAUUGCAAUGUCGAUGUUGAAAGAUAUAUUGUGUAGUCCUAGUCUGAAUCCACAUCUCUGUGUUUAUAAAAGGGGAUCAAUGCAAACGUCAUUUUGUACACCACUGAAAAGCACUGUAUGGUAACUGUCACACUUUGCAUUAAUCUGCAUCAGUGAAGCGUCUUUCUUUGCAUGCAUUUUAAAGUUUGACACCUUUAUAGAAAGGUGAUGAAUUUUUUUUACAGCAACAACUGUUAAGAGCAAAAGAA